This 77-nucleotide transfer RNA is filed under the name Deltaproteobacteria bacterium. RNAcentral's name for it is "tRNA-His". It matches the Rfam family "tRNA". Rfam says of the family: Transfer RNA (tRNA) molecules are approximately 80 nucleotides in length. The record is from RNAcentral. Lineage: Bacteria; Pseudomonadati; Myxococcota; Myxococcia.
GUGGGUGUAGCUCAGUAGGUUAGAGCGCCGGAUUGUGGCUCCGGAGGUCGUGGGUUCAAAUCCCAUCACUCACCCCU